This 436-nucleotide ribosomal RNA is filed under the name uncultured bacterium. Its description in RNAcentral is "bacterial SSU rRNA". It matches the Rfam family "Bacterial small subunit ribosomal RNA", at positions 83 to 504 of the family's 1533-position model. The record is from RNAcentral.
CGUUCUCCGAAAGCGGCGGACUGGUGAGUAACGCGUGGGUGACCUACCUUGAGGAUGGGGAUAGCCGUUAGAAAUAGCGGGUAAUACCGAAUACGAUGGAGUUGCUGUGGCAGCUUCAGGAAAGGAGCUACGUGCUCCGCCUUAAGAUGGGCCCGCGUCCCAUUAGCUAGUUGGGGGUGUAAAGGACCACCAAGGCGAAGAUGGGUAGCCGGCACUGAGAGGGUGAACGGCCACACUGGGACUGAGAUACGGCCAGACUCCUACGGGAGGCAGCAGCUAAGAAUAUUCCACAAUGGACGGAAGUCUGAUGGAGCGACGCCGCGUGGAUGAGGAAGGCCGAAAGGUUGUAAAAUCCUUUUAUUGCUGAAGAAUAAGUGCAGGCAGGGAAUGGCAGACACGAUGACGUUAGGCAAUGAAUAAAGCCCCGGCUAAUUAC